ACACCAAGGAUUGUUUUUCUCGCAAUAUUUUUCUGCGGGAUACGGAAAGGACUCAAACUAACUCACCAAGGGUUAGUUUUAGAUUCAUAAAUAUAAAAGGACAAG
RNAcentral lists this non-coding RNA (105 nucleotides) under Vibrio gallaecicus. RNAcentral's name for it is "gltS RNA". It matches the Rfam family "gltS RNA". The record is from RNAcentral. Lineage: Bacteria; Pseudomonadati; Pseudomonadota; Gammaproteobacteria; Vibrionales; Vibrionaceae.